Molecule: unclassified non-coding RNA, 564 nt
Filed under: Bombus terrestris (buff-tailed bumblebee)
Lineage: Eukaryota; Metazoa; Arthropoda; Insecta; Hymenoptera; Apidae
Description: misc RNA ENSBTSG00005037169.1
Source: RNAcentral
CAACGAUGUCCAACGGUGUCCAACGGUGCAGUCCAGUGUAGAUCAUCCAAAAUUCUUUUCGCGGCAUUUGGAGAUCCACACUGAACCAAUGGUGUCCCACGUUGCAGUCCAGUGUAGAUCAUCCAAAAUUCUUUUCGCGGCUUUUGGAGAUGCACACUGAAACAAAGGUGUCCCACGUUGCAGUCCAGUGUAGAUCAUCCAAAAUUCUUUUCGCGGCUUUUGGAGAUCCACACUGGACCAAUGGAAUCCCACGGUGUCCCACGUUGCAGUCCAGUGUAGAUCAUCCAAAAUUCUUUUCGCGGCUUUUGGAGAUCCACACUGGACCAAUGGAAUCCCACGGUGUCCCACGUUGCAGUCCAGUGUAGAUCAUCCAAAAUUCUUUUCGCGGCUUUUGGAGAUCCACACUGGACCAAUGGAAUCCCACGGUGUCCCACGUUGCAGUCCAGUGUAGAUCAUCCAAAAUUCUUUUCGCGGCUUUUGGAGAUCCACACUGGACCAAUGGAAUCCCACGGUGUCCCACGUUGCAGUCCAGUCUAGAUCAUCCAAAAUUCUUUUCGCGUUUUU